GAAAUGCGAUAAGUAAUGUGAAUUGCAGAAUUCAGUGAAUCAUCGAAUCUUUGAACGCACCUUGCGCCCUCUGGUAUUCCGGAGGGCAUGCCUGUUUGAGUGUCAUGAACACCUCACCCCCUCGGGUUUCCGAUCGGGUGGAUUUGGGCGCUGCCAGUCACAUGGCUCGCCUUAAAAGCAUUAGCGGUUGUUGACGUGAUAAGUUUCGUCUUGUCAACCGCUCCUAAUCUCCUUAGGGAUGUCCUUCCGGACACUUCAUGAUCUGACCUCAAAUCAGGUAGGACUACCCGCUGAACUUAA
RNAcentral lists this unclassified non-coding RNA (300 nucleotides) under uncultured fungus. RNAcentral describes it as "sequence contains ITS1". The stretch from base 1 to 105 matches the Rfam family "5.8S ribosomal RNA", at positions 50 to 154 of the family's 154-position model. Lineage: Eukaryota; Fungi. The record is from RNAcentral. RNAcentral also lists the same sequence under 1 other name.